UGAGAAUCACACAGAAAGGGACAGAGGUGGAUAUACCACACUACAGCAGUCCUGUGUCAUACUCAAUAUUCUUCUGGAAUACUGAAAGAGGGAAGGAAAAAUGAAUGAUUACUAAAAAUGUGCACAAUGCCAAUAAAUUGAAUUCCCUGGAUGCCUGUUCUCGGCCCUGGGAUGAUGCAUUGCAUGAAUGGGACACUAAGGAGACAACAACGAUUUAGAAAAGCACUAGAAGUAGACGUGUCUUCACAUUUGAAGAUGUGUCUUCUACUUUGGAUUGUGGAUUUUGAGAUGAUCAAGCAUCAGAAGGACUUUGCUUAUCUCUUUAUUGAGAAGAUAUAACAAAGAAAUGUAUACAGAAUUGUAACAACAUGAGGUACUAAAUGGCAAACACGGAUUAUUACGAACAGUGAUGGAUAACUGUGACGGAUAACGAACACGCACCUCAAAACAAAGUGUUUUAUAAACAUUAAAAGGGAAGUUUCAAUAAUACCUGCAAUUUAAACUCUGCAUGCUGCAUUGACGAGAAAAAGAUGCAAUUGUGGAAACUACCUCACCAUCAUGGCCGACUAAAAAUACCGUAUGGCGUCUUAAAGACUCCUCAUUGGGUAAUUGGGCCGAACGAACACAAGCUUGACGCUUUGCGAGUGUUGAUUGGAUGCAGCGUAUGUCAAUCAACGAAAGGCCCGCCUUACGGUGCUUAAGAAAACAUGGAACUGGAUUUAUAGGCUUUUCCCUUUUAUUGCUCCCCUCUCACAUCACGGACCGAUAAAAGGUGUUAGCAAAUACAUGUUCAGGAUUGGCUUGUCACAGUGGUUUACAGUGUGUGGCAUAAUAGUUACCCCCGUAACAUUUGAAGCAGACAUUUUUUAUUUUAAGCUAUUUAACUGGAAAUACAGGGCCUUCUGAAGCAAACUGGAGUUAAGUGCCACCCUCAAGGGCAAAAUGGCUAGGUGGCACUGAUGUGCAGUGAGGGCUUAUAAAGCUGCAGACCUCUCAGAUGAUUUCUCGCAGUCUGCCAUUACAGGAAGUGUCUGCAUUUUACGGUUAUGAACUGGAAUCCUAAUGCAGCACUUUUAAACAAUCCCAGCAAGAUAAGGCAAUCCCAGAAUGCACUGCGCCGAGCACAGCAUGGAUGGUGGAUGAUAUACUUAUAUUUCAUUUAAUACUCGCUAUUAUAGCAGGACAGAUCUCUGCGGUGUUGGGGGUCCCACAUGGCCCAAUGAGUGCUGUGGCUUGGAUUACAUCUUAUCCAUAUCAGCAGCUGUAGCCCCAACAAAGCCAGAGGACCCCUGGGCAAAAUUCAAGCUGGACAGAAUUCCCCAAGGACACUCUUGACAGGAAACGAGAUGGCAGAUGAAUAUCCAGUCUUAUAAACGUAUUACACGAUGCCUCAAUGUGUCAACAAGCUAACACUACCUACAAGCAUUUAGAAGCAAGUGUGUACACUGUCCGAAAAAUGAUCCCAAGCUGUCUAUUGGGCCGUACCCUUUAAAAAGGUCCAAAUUUGUACCCUUCAGGUAACAUUUUGUUCAAAUAUGUACCAUUGAGGAAAUAAAUUAAUUAUUUAGGUGCAAAGGUGUA
This is a non-coding RNA of Paramisgurnus dabryanus, 1581 nucleotides long. NCBI's taxonomy places the organism in Eukaryota, Metazoa, Chordata, Actinopteri, Cypriniformes, Cobitidae. The record is from RefSeq and is a predicted model, not a curated record.